AGCGUACACGGUGGAUGCCCUGGCAGUCAGAGGCGAUGAAGGACGUGCUAAUCUGCGAUAAGCGUCGGUAAGGUGAUAUGAACCGUUAUAACCGGCGAUUUCCGAAUGGGGAAACCCAGUGUGUUUCGACACACUAUCAUUAACUGAAUCCAUAGGUUAAUGAGGCGAACCGGGGGAACUGAAACAUCUAAGUACCCCGAGGAAAAGAAAUCAACCGAGAUUCCCCCAGUAGCGGCGAGCGAACGGGGAGCAGCCCAGAGCCUGAAUCAGUGUGUGUGUUAGUGGAAGCGUCUGGAAAGGCGCGCGAUACAGGGUGACAGCCCCGUACACAAAAAUACACAUAUUGUGAGCUCGAUGAGUAGGGCGGGACACGUGGUAUCCUGUCUGAAUAUGGGGGGACCAUCCUCCAAGGCUAAAUACUCCUGACUGACCGAUAGUGAACCAGUACCGUGAGGGAAAGGCGAAAAGAACCCCGGCGAGGGGAGUGAAAAAGAACCUGAAACCGUGUACGUACAAGCAGUGGGAGCACGCUUAGGCGUGUGACUGCGUACCUUUUGUAUAAUGGGUCAGCGACUUAUAUUCUGUAGCAAGGUUAACCGAAUAGGGGAGCCGAAGGGAAACCGAGUCUUAACUGGGCGUUAAGUUGCAGGGUAUAGACCCGAAACCCGGUGAUCUAGCCAUGGGCAGGUUGAAGGUUGGGUAACACUAACUGGAGGACCGAACCGACUAAUGUUGAAAAAUUAGCGGAUGACUUGUGGCUGGGGGUGAAAGGCCAAUCAAACCGGGAGAUAGCUGGUUCUCCCCGAAAGCUAUUUAGGUAGCGCCUCGUGAAUUCAUCUCCGGGGGUAGAGCACUGUUUCGGCAAGGGGGUCAUCCCGACUUACCAACCCGAUGCAAACUGCGAAUACCGGAGAAUGUUAUCACGGGAGACACACGGCGGGUGCUAACGUCCGUCGUGAAGAGGGAAACAACCCAGACCGCCAGCUAAGGUCCCAAAGUCAUGGUUAAGUGGGAAACGAUGUGGGAAGGCCCAGACAGCCAGGAUGUUGGCUUAGAAGCAGCCAUCAUUUAAAGAAAGCGUAAUAGCUCACUGGUCGAGUCGGCCUGCGCGGAAGAUGUAACGGGGCUAAACCAUGCACCGAAGCUGCGGCAGCGACACUAUGUGUUGUUGGGUAGGGGAGCGUUCUGUAAGCCUGCGAAGGUGUACUGUGAGGUAUGCUGGAGGUAUCAGAAGUGCGAAUGCUGACAUAAGUAACGAUAAAGCGGGUGAAAAGCCCGCUCGCCGGAAGACCAAGGGUUCCUGUCCAACGUUAAUCGGGGCAGGGUGAGUCGACCCCUAAGGCGAGGCCGAAAGGCGUAGUCGAUGGGAAACAGGUUAAUAUUCCUGUACUUGGUGUUACUGCGAAGGGGGGACGGAGAAGGCUAUGUUGGCCGGGCGACGGUUGUCCCGGUUUAAGCGUGUAGGCUGGUUUUCCAGGCAAAUCCGGAAAAUCAAGGCUGAGGCGUGAUGACGAGGCACUACGGUGCUGAAGCAACAAAUGCCCUGCUUCCAGGAAAAGCCUCUAAGCAUCAGGUAACAUCAAAUCGUACCCCAAACCGACACAGGUGGUCAGGUAGAGAAUACCAAGGCGCUUGAGAGAACUCGGGUGAAGGAACUAGGCAAAAUGGUGCCGUAACUUCGGGAGAAGGCACGCUGAUAUGUAGGUGAAGCGACUUGCUCGUGGAGCUGAAAUCAGUCGAAGAUACCAGCUGGCUGCAACUGUUUAUUAAAAACACAGCACUGUGCAAACACGAAAGUGGACGUAUACGGUGUGACGCCUGCCCGGUGCCGGAAGGUUAAUUGAUGGGGUCAGCGCAAGCGAAGCUCUUGAUCGAAGCCCCGGUAAACGGCGGCCGUAACUAUAACGGUCCUAAGGUAGCGAAAUUCCUUGUCGGGUAAGUUCCGACCUGCACGAAUGGCGUAAUGAUGGCCAGGCUGUCUCCACCCGAGACUCAGUGAAAUUGAACUCGCUGUGAAGAUGCAGUGUACCCGCGGCAAGACGGAAAGACCCCGUGAACCUUUACUAUAGCUUGACACUGAACAUUGAGCCUUGAUGUGUAGGAUAGGUGGGAGGCUUAGAAGUGUGGACGCCAGUCUGCAUGGAGCCGACCUUGAAAUACCACCCUUUAAUGUUUGAUGUUCUAACGUUGACCCGUAAUCCGGGUUGCGGACAGUGUCUGGUGGGUAGUUUGACUGGGGCGGUCUCCUCCUAAAGAGUAACGGAGGAGCACGAAGGUUGGCUAAUCCUGGUCGGACAUCAGGAGGUUAGUGCAAUGGCAUAAGCCAGCUUGACUGCGAGCGUGACGGCGCGAGCAGGUGCGAAAGCAGGUCAUAGUGAUCCGGUGGUUCUGAAUGGAAGGGCCAUCGCUCAACGGAUAAAAGGUACUCCGGGGAUAACAGGCUGAUACCGCCCAAGAGUUCAUAUCGACGGCGGUGUUUGGCACCUCGAUGUCGGCUCAUCACAUCCUGGGGCUGAAGUAGGUCCCAAGGGUAUGGCUGUUCGCCAUUUAAAGUGGUACGCGAGCUGGGUUUAGAACGUCGUGAGACAGUUCGGUCCCUAUCUGCCGUGGGCGCUGGAGAACUGAGGGGGGCUGCUCCUAGUACGAGAGGACCGGAGUGGACGCAUCACUGGUGUUCGGGUUGUCAUGCCAAUGGCACUGCCCGGUAGCUAAAUGCGGAAGAGAUAAGUGCUGAAAGCAUCUAAGCACGAAACUUGCCCCGAGAUGAGUUCU
RNAcentral lists this ribosomal RNA (2772 nucleotides) under Escherichia coli. RNAcentral describes it as "bacterial LSU rRNA". It matches the Rfam family "Bacterial large subunit ribosomal RNA". The record is from RNAcentral. Lineage: Bacteria; Pseudomonadati; Pseudomonadota; Gammaproteobacteria; Enterobacterales; Enterobacteriaceae.